AACGACCAUACCAUGCUGAAUAUACAGGUUCUCGUUCGAUUCCCGAAGUCAAGCAUCAUCAGGCGCAGUCAAUAUUUGGGAGGGUGACCAUCUGGGGACACCGCGUGCCGUU
RNAcentral lists this ribosomal RNA (112 nucleotides) under Caerostris darwini. The record is from RNAcentral. Lineage: Eukaryota; Metazoa; Arthropoda; Arachnida; Araneae; Araneidae.